UCUUCCGCAAUGGGCGAAAGCCUGACGGAGCAACGCCGCGUGAUCGAAUGAAGGCCUUCGGGUUGUAAAGAUCUGUUGACAGGGACGAAUAAGCAAUGCGAAUAGUUUUGUGUAUGACGGUACCUGUUUAGAAAGCUACGGCUAACUACGUGCCAGCAGCCGCGGUAAUACGUAGGGAGCAAGAGUUGGCCGGAAUUACUGGGCGUAAAGGGCGCGUAGGUGGGCGCUUAAGUCAAGUGUGAAACCUCCGGGCUCAACCUGGAGACUGCACUUGAAACUGGGUGUCUUGAGGGCAGGAGAGGAAAGUGGAAUUCCUAGUGUAGCGGUGAAAUGCGUAGAUAUUAGGAGGAACACCAGUGGCGAAGGCGACUUUCUGGACUGUACCUGACGCUGAGGCGCGAAAGCGUGGGUAGCGAACGGG
This 421-nucleotide ribosomal RNA is filed under the name uncultured bacterium. RNAcentral describes it as "bacterial SSU rRNA". It matches the Rfam family "Bacterial small subunit ribosomal RNA", at positions 362 to 776 of the family's 1533-position model. The record is from RNAcentral.